RNAcentral lists this long non-coding RNA (42052 nucleotides) under Malus domestica (apple). RNAcentral's name for it is "long non-coding RNA (MDOM_LNC009703)". Lineage: Eukaryota; Viridiplantae; Streptophyta; Magnoliopsida; Rosales; Rosaceae. The record is from RNAcentral.
UCAUGGUCUAUACACAUAGGAGCAGGGCUUGCAAUCUCCUCAUAACUGUUAUACAGAACUUGCUUUUUAUACUUCUUCGCUACUGCUUUGGCUAACGGACUUCAAAAUGUUGAACUUGUAGAGUGGGCAGGUGGCAUUGAUCUGUAACCAUUUGUCUAUGCAGGUGCAGUGGAAGUGGUGACAGCAAGAAAGUUCACGCAGUUCAGUUCCAUCUUCAUGGGUAAAAAGGCAGAUGCAACAUUCCUAAGAUUAACACAACUCACGUAAUAAGUAUGUAAACUAAGAGAUUUGGACCCUUCAAAUUUUUAGAUUUUUGUGAAGCAAGCUAGCGAGACGGGCUAAUAAGGAUCGUAGUAUUGAAAUUGAGUGAUCUAAAUUUUUCGUUCCACGAACUCUAGACACAGAGAUCUAGAGUAGAUCCCAAUUCGUGGUUUUGAAACUUCAACAAAAGCAGGCUACAGCGAUGGCAGAACAAACCAAUAUUGUCAAUAUCAUCACUGUCUGAUUGAGAUGUGCUGCCUUUCUAUUUCUCUGAAUUUCGUCAUCAAGCUUCAAUCUCUACCAAAAUUAGAAAACAAGGGAUCAAACUUUCUUCAUUUUGUUAAAAAUUAUGCAAUCCUUUUACAAUACUCCAGAUUAUCCAACGCAUAAAUCAUCACCUUAUCAUACAAUGCACGUUUUUCACCAUCUUAAAAAGCGUGGGUGAUUAAAAAGGUUCAUGCAAUGCAAAUUUUACCUGUUGAGGUUGUUGGGAAUUUGGCAGGAUUCCAAUUGAAGCUGGAGAUUGGACGUGAAGUUGGAAAAUUUGGUAGGAGAUGUGAUAUUUUUGUUUCCUGGUGAUUUCAGUAUAGUUGGAGAGAAGUGAAUAUAGCUCCACAUGCUUCUACAACCCCUUUUUUGUGGCUUAGCACUCUUUUAGUGCGUUAAACAAGUUUAUGGUCAGAUUAAUUUUUAAGAAAAUUUCACUUUAUUAAAAAUCUCAAAUAUCGCUAUUGUGACUUAACUGGAUUUAUCUAUCUUUUUAUCAACAACUGUCGUUCAUGAGAUUUGAAUUCAAGAUCCCUUAAAAAGCAAGUGAAGAUUGAAAGAUGCAAGACCAAAUGGUCAUUUGCUAUUACAUACAUCUACUACUCUUCAUGGACCUCUUCUUAAGACUUGAUUUACUCAGACCUAAUUAUGUUAAAAUGGUUUGUUCGAGAUCGUAUUAAAUACAUGUAAGUAUUGUAACCAAUCCCAAUUCUUAUAUGCCAACUUUAUACUGAGCUACGAGACCAAUUACAUUUUUAAUUUUUUCUAAACUUUAUUUAAGAAUUAAUUAUGUGCUAAUCACCAUACAGACAUUUCUUAAUGCCAAAUUGCUAAAUUUACUUGUGAUCUUUAAGUUUAUAUUUUUAUUUACAGUCUAAAUUAUAUUUGCUGUAACAUUUAGAUAUUGGCUACAAUGAAAAGCCUAUUUUGCUGUAAUAAUAUUUGGUGUUUACCACUAACAACUAUCUUAAGAUAAAAUUAAACUAUGAGAUUUUGGGAUUAAUCGUUCAUUCUAACUAAAUUAGGAAACACAAUUAUAUCAAACAAUAUUCUGAUACAAGGAACAUUAAAGGAAUCCUAACUAAAUUAGGAAACACAAUUAUAUUCCUAAUCACAAACAUUCUCCUAAUUAAUAGGGUUGACUCACGCUAACAUUCCCCCUCAAGUUGGUUCGUAGAUAUCUCCUAAGCCCAACUUGUAGAGUGAGUCCCGAAAUCUUCCAGCAGGUAUCGCAUGUGUUAGAAUAUCCGCCAGCUGUUCUUCUGUUUGCAUAAACGGAAUGUCAACCAGCCGAACAUCAAGCUUCUCCUUUAUUUAGCUAUCUCUCGAGCUGAUUGAUUAUCACAUUACAACAACAUAGACCCUUUGGGCUUAAAACCUAUCUUAGUAAGAAGUAUUUGAAGCCAGAAGUUUACAAAUACCAUGUGCCAUUCCUCUGUAUUCAGCUUCAGCUGACGAUCUUGCCACCACAUUCUGUUUCUUACUUCUCCAAGUCACCAGGUUACCAGCCACGAACGUAAAAUAGCCUGAUUUAGACCUCCUAUCAGUGAUGUUCUCAGCCCAAUCUGCAUUAGUAUAUCCUUUCACCUCCAAGUGUCCAUGCUUUUUGUACAUUAGACCCUUUCCCGGAGCUCAUUUUAGAUAACUCAGGAUUCGCAUUACUGCUGUCAUGUGAUCCUCACUCGGUGCAUGCAUAAACUGACUCAUCACACUUACUGCAUAAGCAAUGUCUGGUCUAGUGAGUGACAAGUAAAUCAAUCUUCGCACUAACCUUUGAUACCUUUCCUUAUUUGUUGGAACUUGAUCUUGAGAUUGCAAGGUGAUGAUUCUGCACAAUUGGAGUAUCUGUCGGUUUACAUGCUAACAUACCAGUUUCGGACAAUAAGUCCAACACAUACUUACGUUGUGACACGUAUAUCCCUUCUCGAGAUCUAGCAACCUCAAUACCUAGGAAGUACUUAAGUCCCCCUAAAUCUUUCAUCUCAAACUCAGAAGCCAAGUACCUCUAUAUCCUUUCAAUUUCCUUUGUAUCAUCACCUGUGACAAUCAUAUCAUCGACAUAUAUAAUGAGUAAAGUAACUUUACCAUCCUUGUGUUUGAUGAACAAAGUAUGAUCUGAGUUCCCUUGUCGGUAUCUGCACUUUUUCAUAGCCUGAGUGAAUCUCCCAAACCAUGCUCUAGGCGACUGCUUGAGACCAUACAAUGCCUUCCGGAGUCUACACACUUUUCCACUGGAGUUUGUAAUGCCAUAUCCUAGUGGAAAAUCCUUAUAGACCUCUUCCUCUAAAUCCCCAUGCAAAAAUGCAUUCUUUAUGUCAAAUUGUCUUAGAGGCCAAUCAAAAUUAGCAGUAAGAGACAACAACACUCUAAUGGUAUUCAUUUUUGCAACCGGAGCAAAAGUUUCCUGAUAGUCAACACCGAAGGUUUGUGUGUACCCUUUGGCCACUAGUCUCACAUUGUACCUAUAGAUGGUUUCGUCAGCUUUAUGUUUGAUAGUACACACCCAUUUGCAUCCAACUGAUUUUUUUCCUUUGGGAAGUGUAACCACACUUCAUGUAUUAUUCUUUUGUAACGCCUCCAUCUCAAUUUGCAUUGCCUCUGUCCAUUUCGGAUCUUUCAAGGCUUCUUCCACUCUAGUAGGUAUUUUGAUAGUAUUCAUCCGUUGAACAAGUGCACAAUAUUUUGGCGAGAGUCGAUGAGUGGAGACAUAAUUUGCAAUAGAGUACCGUACCUUCCAUUCUGAAGAGUACCUGUCCGGCGGCUUUCCUCGAUUCUGUCUGAGAGGUAACAUAUAAGGUGGUUUAAUAAUUUCUGAGUGAGUACUUACCUCGAGGUUAUCCGGUGGAUCAUGGGUGGGUACUGGAGGAGUGUGAGAGCGGUUGUCUCUUGGGAUGACACUCGGGCAUGCAGCAGCAAGCCCAUUUAGGCAGAUCGCAACGACAUUUGGGCAAAUGGUAGUGACAAGGGGCCCAUAUGGGCCCGUGGAACCAGCAGGAGAAAGCUCUGCAGAAAAAGGCCGCCUACGUGGGCUUGUAGCAUCAGACGGCCCAUCUGCCGCUGUCUUAUUAUCAUCUGGCCUACCAACAACCAUCUCAGUCACACCAUCAUUAACAGGCCCACAUGGCUCAACAUGUACAUGCCCAUCUAGGCAGUCAUUAUGUACUCCUUUGUUUUGGAUUUUAGCACGCCCAUGCCCAUGAUUUGGGCCAGCAAAUACAUCUUCAACAUGCCCAUUGUUUAGGCUGACAGGUUCAUCUUCAACACACUCAUUAUUUGGGCCGACAGGUACAUCAAACCAGCCAUAGUCUUCACUUAAGGUUGCCUCCUCCUGAGGAGUAAGGCUGGGAAGAAAAAAUAAUUCAUCUUUAGAGAAGGUAACAUCCAUGGUGACAAGACAUGUCGGGUAGGUGGAUGAUAGCAUCGGUAACCUUUUUGCUGGGGACUAAAGCCAAUGAAAACACACCGAAUGACACACGGAUCAAGUUUGCUUCGUUGGUUUUUGUGAAGAUGAACGUAGGCCACACAACCAAAAACUUGUGGUUCUAGAUGAAGAGUAGAGGAUAAGGAAACAUGGUCACCAAGUACGGCCAACGAAGUGCGAAAAAAAAAGAACACGCGAUGACAUUCGAUUCAUGAGAUAUACGGCGUAGGUCACCGCAUCAACCCAAUAAGUUUUGGGUGUGAAAGCACCAAUGAGAAGAGCCCGAGUAAUCUCAAGUAUGUGUUGAUUUUUCCGUUCAGCUACUCCAUUUUGCUGUGGGGUCUGAGAACAAGUAGUUUUAUGGAGAAGUCCAUUUUCUUGGAAGAACUGAGAAAGGUCCUGGUUAAUGUAUUCACCACCAUUAUCGGACCGAAUGACUUUAAUAUGAAGCGAGUAUUGUGCGUGGACCAUAUGAUAAAACUGUUUGACAAUGUCACCCACAUCAUUCUUAUGUUUCAUGAGAUAUAACCAAGUCAUUCUGGUGCAGUCAUCAACAAACAUCAUAAACCAACGUACACCAUGCUGAGUAGUAACUAGAGACGACCCCCAUACAUCAGAGUGAACCAACUUAAAAGGAACUGUUCUUUUGUUAAAACUUGGAGGAUAUGAAGCUCGAUGACUUUUAGCUAAAGUGCAUACAUUACACUUUAGAGAAGAAUCUAAAAUAUUAUUGAAUAAUGACAGGAGCAAUUUCCGCAAUGCAUGACCUAGGCGACGAUGCCACAACUGAACAGUCUUCACUUUUCCAUUAUCAUGACUUUGAACAUGGUGAACUCGGCUUUAGGCAACAUCGUCGACAUAGUACAACCCCCUCCUUUUAGUACCACGUCCAAUGAUCGCCUGAGUCUGGAUAUCCUGAAGUAAACAGAAAGACGGAAACAUUAGCACAACCAAGGAACAAAAUGCCGAUAAUAUCGGCGAUAUAUCGCCGAUAUUAUCGGUUUUUCACCGGAUCGAUAUUUUAAUAGGUAUCCAAAGGAUUUUCGUCAAAAUAUCGCGAUAUUAUAUAAAAUAUCGAUAAUAUCUUAGGAGUCGGUGAGCGCGCCGCAGCUAACGCCGAAAAGCAGCGAAACGAUGACGCUCAGGAUGUCCUUGGUGCGAUCGCGCAGGCUUCUGAGCGGGGCGGAGCCGACUGAUUUCGAUGACGACGGUGACAAAGCCGGAGGGGGAAGAGGAGGAGGGGAGACGGCGGAGGGAGAAGGAGUAGGAGGAAACGAAGAGGGUUUUGCAGGGCCUUGAUGCGGUGGCGGAGAUGGCGAAGAGGGAGAAGGUGAGGGGAGCGAUGAGGUGGUGUCGCCGUUGAUGUGGUGUGGAAGUGAGGGUGUGGGUUGGUUCACGGGGAGAAGGAGAGAGUGCAGAUAGAGAGAGAGCACAGGUAGAGAUGAGAGAGUGAGGGAAAAGAGAGAACUGAGAGAAAAGAGAGAUCGCCUUCGUUGAUGUGGUGUGGAAGUGAGGGUGUGGGUUGGUUCACGGGGAGAAGGAGAUAGUGCAGAGAGUGCAGAGAGAGAGAGCACGGGUAGAGAUGAGAGAGUGAGGGGAAAGAGAGAACUAAGAGAAAAGAGAGACCGGGGACACAAAAGCAAGGUGGGCCCCCUGGGCACACCUAUUAAGGUCCAAAAAUAAUUUUAAAAGUAAGAUAAACUCAAACUUAGUGAAAAUACAAUUUAAAUUGGGGGUGGGUGUAACAAUCUACCCCUCUUAAAAGAAUUUCGUCUCCGAAAUUUAAAAUCACUUACUAAACUGAAAUACUCGAAAAUAGGAAGAAGAAUAUAUAUAUAAAGAGAAAUCAAGUCCAAAUAAUUACAUCAUAUUAAAAUUUGAUUAAUUUUUUUUCAGUUACAUAUAUUAUAUAUGAUAAAUUUCUAUUUUAAAUCAAGUCCAAAUAAUCACAUCAUAUUAAAAUUUGAUUAAUUUCUUUUCAAGUAUCUACUUUUGAACUACUCACCACGUUCACUCUAUGUGGUACUAAGUCACUAAUGUAUCUUACCAUGCAAAGUAUAAAAUGUAAAAUAUUGUACUAAUUCAUUAUAUAUAAAUGAUUAUGGUGUGUUUAGACUUCUUUCAUUAAUUACUACAUAUUUUCUACACUCACAUUGUUUGUCAGCUCGCUAUAUAAUCAACUUGAUAAUGUUAAAUCCAUCAUGCAAUGCAUUUCUUUCUAAUUUUUUGUGAUAAACUAAUGGAUAAUUGACUAAAUAAACAUCCUGCAAAGUUUUAAUAAAAAUUUCCAAGUUUUUCUUACAAUUUCCGUGGUUUCCAUGUAAUUUUUAUCGAUAUCGAUAUUAUCCCGAUAUUUCCAUCGAUAUUUCCGUGUUUUCGAACUACCGAUAUUUCCGAUAUUACCGAUAUUUAAUACCUUGAGCACAACACAGUCCAAUUGUUCGGUUACUUGCCCCACAGAUAAUAAGUAGCUAGAAAGUAUGGGAACAAGUAAGCAGUUAUGUAACGAGAGGGUAGAAGUGAGUGAUACGGAACCCGCCCCUGUAAUUGGGUGGGGCAACACCUCCGUUGGCAGUAAAAAUAUUAUCUCGUGGUGGUGGUGUCAUAGAGUCAAAAAGACUACGAUCGUAAGUCAUAUGAUCAGUGGCUCCUGAAUCAAUAAUUCAACCAGUAUCAUGAUCAAUCGAUGAAAUUGAAGCUAUGCUUGUGUUACCGAGGUUGUCGGAUUUCUCGCUUGAAGCAAUUAAAUUUAAGAGAGAAAACUGUUGUUCCAGAUUUUCUGGAGAUGUCUUCACUGGGUGUCCCCGCUGGUGGGCCAGGCAAGCCGGUUCCAUCCCUGCUGCUGACGCCAGCAUCUGCUGGUUGGGUGGGAUUGUUUUGGGCUUCAAAACUAAUCAGUCCACUCUCUGAUUUUACUCCAUUAGGCGCAACAGACCUCUUGUCAAACUUGAUGGGGACCAUUGCUUGGCUAUUUGCCGUAGUUGCAGCACGUUGUGGUUUGGGAUUUUCAAAGGAAGGUCUAGUUUCUUGUUUCGAGACUUGGGUGUGGGUAUUUAACAGAAGUCUCUUGCUUCGAGACUUUUGGUACAAUUCCAAGCGGCUGAUAAGCAACCAACCGAGAAGAAAUCAAGUCGUCAGUGAGCAAGAUUAGGAUUUAGAGAAAGAGACCGGUCGAAACCUGCUCUGAUGUCAGGAUAAAAUUAAACUAUGAGAUUUUGGGAUUAAUCGUUCAUUCUAUUCUUCUCCAUCAAGGAGGCAAUAUAUAUCAAACAUAUAUUCUGAUACAAGGAACAUUAAAGGAAUCCUAACUAAAUUAAGAAACACAAUUAUAUUCCUAAUCACAAACAUUCUCCUAAUUAAUAGGGUUGACUCACGCCAACAUCUUAUACGUACCGUCCGAUAACAGUGGUAAGAAGAACAUGUAAAGUUUGAGUUUGAUUAGUCAUGAAACUGCUAGCUUAAGACCAUCCGAUAACAAUGGUAAGAACAUAAACCAGCAGCAGUGAUAUGGGGUACAGAAUGUAUGCUAGAAUGCUUGUCCAAAAUGGGAACUUUCUGCUGAAGCUUGCAGAAAGACCAACCGCUAUCGAAAUAAUUAAAACAACUAAAACUUCAGCAGCGACAUCCCAUGAUAAAUUGCGUAUGUAAACAAGAGCCAAAAAUAUGAUCAACCCCACAAUAUUGUUCAUGAAUGCCGCGUUGUAAAUCUGCAGAGAACAGUUCAAAUGUCAGAUGAUAUUGAUCUUAUGGAGUUGCAGUGCUGUGUUUAUGGAAAGUAUUAGGGACGGACUUUUGGAGUAUAAAUCAGGGAGAAAUAAGUGUAUGACAUCAUUAGACGCUUAAGUGUGUGAAGUAGUUAAAACAAUAUAUUUGAGUUUAUGAAACAGACCUCAGAAAGUGUUAAAGAGAUGGCAUUCUCCGUCUUGUCUUUGGCAGACAAUACAGACAUUAGUGCCAGUCUGUAAUUUGUAGCCAAGGGUAUCACAACAUACGAGGCCAUGAAAGAAGGGAUGCUUGCAGCGGUGGAAAACUCUUGGAGACUUACCAUGAGGGGCAUUGAAAGAAAAACUGUUAUGGCAGUUCCUAGAAUAAUUAGAAAAGCAGCCUUCAGGAGAUUCAUCCAUGAUGUAUCAGCACCCCUAGUCUUCUUUUUCUUAACGAUCAGCGGUAUCUGCUGAUCUUCCAUAGAUGUCUCAUUCUGCAAGUGCAGUUUAAUGACCCGGAUGAAACUCUUGUUUUUCUAAGCAUUCAAAUAUAGUCCUAUCAGGCAAAUGCGGGCGUAAGAGCAGGUGUGCUCAUCCCUUAUGCAGGUAAUUUCAAGUCCCUCUUCCCGAUGUUUACAUUAGUUAAAGUAAAAUAUUGCUUGUGUAAAAAAAAAAAUACUUACAGUCCUACCGGGGCUGAAUUUAUACCUUGGCAGGGGUCUUAUCUGGAUUAAUCCAUUUAGAGAUUCCAUUCACAAACUCCGUCUCAGUUAUUUGAGCGUCGCCAGAGAGAUCAAAUUGCUUCAUCACUUCUUCUGCAUAAUCAUCAUCAUCCAGACCUAUUUCUUCUAUUUGUAUUCCUAGGAUCAAUGCUUUAAGUUCAUCUGCUGAUAUGUAUGUGUUAUGAUUCUUGUCUACUCUAUGGAACAGCCUGAAAAUAAAUUUAGAAAACGACUAAAUGAUGAGAUCAUGGCAUUUCAGCGAUUCAGGUGGAGUGAACUAAAAACAGAAACCGGGUACUUACUCUUUUAUACUGGAUUCAUUAGCAUUUCCGUCUACUGUCAGAAGACUCGGCAGUAUCUUCCGUAUGUAUUUAAGCAUCAAAUAUUCAAGCCUUCUGCUCUGAAUCCAUGGUUGAAAGAACUGCAUAAUUGUUUUCUAUCAGUUAAGAAGUUCACGGAUGCAACAUUUCUAACUUUUGUACUUUGUUCAUCGUUGCUUAAACAAUCAAAAGUCUUUCUCGGAUUCUUAUUAUUUCAGUAUGUUAAUUAUUUCAUCUUUCAUACACAAUAAGUCAAAUUUUACUAUCAUCUAAGUAUCGCUGAGGCAGAUUUUAUAUUCUUGAAGUUGUGUUACCUGGUAGAUGAUGUAAGUGGCAAGGAUUGCAGAUGCAAUCAGUAGAGAAAUUAAGAUCACAACUCGAACUGCUGUGGUUGAAGUCAAGAUUUUUGCCAGUUGAAGAAAGAGAUAUGGGAUCGAGGAGAGCAUCAUGAUUCUUGCAGUAUCUCGGGUUUCGACAUCAGUUCUUACACCAGAACCUGCACAACCAUGUUUACUUACACAUUAAGUUAUCAUAUUUUAGACCUCUCUCUCUCAGUGAGUGUUGAUUAGUUUGUGGAGAUCAGAGAAGAAGAAGUAAACCAGUUAAACUGAAGGGGUUCUUGUUUUCUGAAUUUGAUGAAGUUUGAGAAUCCGAGAGGUCGGAGCUACCGAAGGCAACAACAGAACCCCAUAUUAGGGUAAGAAUCAUGAUUGUUGAUCCUGCAAGCAUGCUCAUGUUCAUUUUUGCCAUUUCCUCCGCAGUUUCUGUAGUUGCUGUAAUUCCAGUUACUGAGGAACAAAAUGUGAAUUGUCGUCAUGAAUUUACAAGACAUAAUACAUGUCAAAUGUAUUACUUUGAUUUAAAAGUUAAAACCAAAACUUCUGAACUUUUCUCCAAAUAGUCAAGCAAUUACUAUACAAGUCAAAAUCAUUUAAAACUAAGGAAAACUAAUGAAAAUGACUUGAAAACUUUGAAUUUUAAUCAAAAUAACAAAAAUGUGUUGUAAAUGAAUAGUAUCAGGAGUGACUUUUUAGAGUAAAAAUGUCUUUUUCGUUAAAAGUGAAUAGUACCGGGAGUGUUUAGCUAAAACUCUCUUUAAACUAUGCAAGUGGCUUUUUACCACAGUGGUGAAAAUGAGUUAAGCUCUUGCAUGACGGCGUGAGUUUGAAUUCAAUCGAUGGCUAAUCUAAUAUCUAAUCUAACAAAAUAUAUCAUAUGAGAUAAAAAAAUCAUUUAAACUAUGAAUCUCUAAUCUAAUCUAAUCUAAUCUAAUCUAAUACUCAUUCACACUCUUAACAAGCUCGUCAUGUUAAAUAUAUUGAGGUGAGCAACUGAGCCACAAAAUUAAACACGUGAGUUGUUGAGAUCAACGAUUCAACACAUGAGUAUAGUCUAUUCUGAUACCAUAUGUAUAUAUAUAGAGGUGAGCAACUGAGCCACAAAAUAGAGACCCAAGAUAAUUAAACUUUUAUGUAAAACUUUAAUUCCUCGAAGUUAGAUUCCUCCCAAUAUACAAGAUUAUGGUCUGUUAAAUUGUAAUCUUGUCUUGGUCCAAGACAAUUGAUCCGACCCAUACACAAAGAAAGAUCCAUGCACAUGCUAAAGAGUUCUAGCAAAGUUCAAGUUGGUGGAAUGCAUGCAUAAAUAUCUAAGGCUUUUUGUAGAAAGCUCUAGAAUCUUGUAAAAAUGUGUGGUUGUUAAGCAUUAGCUAGAAAGUUCUAGCAAUGCCAAAAAGUUGGCAAACCUUGCCUAUAAAUAGGUGAGGUGCUAAGCAAUGUGAUGUAAUAACUAAGAGAGCAAGUAGUGAGAAGUGAGAGUGCCAAGUGAAAAGUGAGAAGAAGCAACAAAGCUUCUAAGAGUGUUUGAGUGUUUCCUCUUUACUAAGUUUGUGAGUGAAUAAAAAUCUUGUGUAACACUUUGAGUAUUCUUUCUUUCUCAUGCCUAUCAAUUUCACUGCAUUACAUUCUUCUUUGUGAGAUAAACAUUUCCAAAGUAGUGAAGUCUUUUUAAGCCCCAACAAAGUGGUACCAGAGUUAUGGCUAGCAAUGCUAUGUCAGCCUUCCAAGUUCCAGUACUCGACAAGAACAACUUCAAUAAUUGGAGUAUCGAAAUAAAGGCCCUUUUGGGAUCACAUGAUGUCUAGGAAGUCGUGGAGAAAGGCUACACAGAGCUAGAAGAUGAAGCUACUCUAACCCAAGCCCAGAAGGAGAGUUUGACAGAUUAAAGAAAGAGAGACAAGAAGGUUCUCUACCUUAUCUACCAAGCAUUAGAUGACAAUGGCUUUGAGAAGGUCUCGAGUGCAACCUUCGCCAAGCAAGCAUGAGAGAAGCUUCAAACCUCUUGCAAAGGAGCCGAACAAGUGAAAAAGGUUCGUCUUUAAGUAUUAAGAGGUGAGUUCGAAUCUCUACAAAUGAAAGGGUCUAAAUCAAUCUCCAAUUAUUUCUCAAGAGUCUUAGAUGUUUCCAAUCAAUUAAAAAGAAACGGAGAAAAUUUAGAAGAUGUUAGAAUUACGGAGAAGAUACUACGCUCGUUGGACCCCAAAUUUGAGCACAUUGUCGUGACAAUUGAAGAAACCAAAAACUUAGAAGAAAUUAAUAUAGAGCAAUUGAUGGGUUCGCUACAAGCAUAUGAAGAGAAACAUAAGAAGAGGCAAGGGAAUGAUGAGCUGCUCAUCAAGACGCAUGUUCAGCCAAAGAAGAAAGAAGAAAGCUUCGACAACAAAAGAAGCCAAUACGAAAAAAGUCGUGGUCGAGGUUGCAGACGUGGGCGUGGACGUGGACGUGGUUGGAACUUCAACAACCAUAGUAACUAUAAAAGAGGAGAAAUCUCAACAAAAGGUCGUGGAAGAGGACGCUCAAACUUGAGGUAUGAAAAAUCUCAAGUUCAAUGCUAUAAUUGUCAAAAGUUCGGGUAUUAUGCUUGGGAAUGUAGAGCUCCAAACAGCAGACCUGAUGAAAAGGUCAACUAUGUGAAAGAAGAGAAAGAAGAGAAUGACAUUGUGCAACUAAUAUGCAAGAACAAUAAUCGAGACCAAGACUAUACAUGGUACCUUGACACAGGUGCCAGCAACCACAUGUGUAGAAGAAGAGGCAUGUUCGUAGAGCUCAAUGAAUCAGUUAGUGGCAACGUUUCUUUUGGAGACGAAUCCAAAAUACCCGUCAAAGGAAAAGGUAACAUCCUAAUUCCCCUGAAAAAUGGCGGUCACCAAUUAAUUUCAAAUGUCUACUACGUGCCCAAUAUGAAAAGCAACAAAUUGAGUUUAGGUUAACUCUUAGAAAAAGGUUAUGAUAUUUACAUGAAAAAUUAUAGCCUUUUUCUUAGAGAUGAUAAAGGAAGAUUAAUUGCCAAGGUGAAAAUGUCAAAGAAUACGAUGUUUCCUAUGAAAAUUCAAAACGAUGUUGCAAAGUGUCUCAAGACAUGUUACAAAGACAUAUCAUGGCUUUGGCAUCUUCAUUUUGGGCAUCUUAACUUUGGGGGAUUGAAGUUAUUAUCUAAGAAUGAGAUGGUGAGAAGCUUACCAUGCAUCAGUCACCCUGAUCAAGUUUGUGAAUGGUGUUUACUUGGGAAACAGUUCAUGAUUCUAAAUGAGUCGAUCACAAGAGCCCAGAAGCCACUUGAGCUUAUUCACACCGAUGUGUGCGGUCUAAUAAAACCAAGCUCUGUCGGUAAAAAUAAUUAUUUCCUUCUCUUCAUUGAUGAUUUUUCAAGGAAAACUUGGGUAUAUUUCUUGAAGCAGAAAUCAGAGGCCUUUGGAGCAUUCAAGAAGUUUAAAGCCGCUAUAGAAAAAGAAAAUGGUUGCAAGAUCAAAGCCAUGAGAUUUGAUCGAGGAAGAGAAUCCACUUCAAAGGAAUUUCAAGAAUUAUGUGAAGCUAAUGGAAUUCGUCGACCUUUGAUAGUUCCAAGAUCCCCUCAACAAAAUGGUAUGGUGGAAAGAAAAAAUCGAACCAUCCUCAACAUGGCUCGAAGCAUGCUCAAAAGUAAAAUAUUGCCUAAGAAGUUGUGGGCAGAAGCUGUAGCAUGUGCUGUUUACCUAUCCAAUUGGUCACCAAUAAGAAUUGUGUGGGGAAAAACUCCGCAAGAAGCAUGGAGUGGAAGAAAGCUAGGUAUCUCUCAUCUAAGAGUUUUUGGAAGCAUAGCCCAUGUACAUGUACCAGACGAGAGGAAAACCAAACUCGACGACAAAAGUGAGAAGUUUAUCUUCAUCAGAUAUGAUUCAAAUUCAAAAGGCUAUAAGUUGUAUAAUCCGAACAAUGGGAAGACGGUGAUCAGUCGAGACGUGACGUUCAACGAAGAAAAAGAAUGGGAUUUUGGCUCGCAUGUAGGUGAUCUUCAAUUCUUUCCUCAAAUUGAAGAAGAUAAUGAACAAGGGAUAAUGGAGCAAGCAAGAGAGGUUCAACAAGAAUCCACUACUUCACCUGCUUCACCAAUAUUAACCAAUCAUGGCAAUUCACCAGCAUCAGCAUCGUCAAGUGGGAGUCUAAAUGAAAAAGAAGUACCAUGCACAAGAAGUAUACGAGAUCUCUAUGAGGUAGCUGAAAGACUUGAUAAUCUUACACUUUUCUAUUUCUUUGUUGAUUGUGAACCGGUCGACUUCCAAGAAGCAAUGCAAGAUGCUAAGUGGAGGAAAGUAAUGAAUGAAGAAAUCGAAGCAAUCCAAAAAAAUGAUAUAUGGGAACUCAUUAUUCUUUCGAAAUGACAUAAAGCCAUCGAAGUCAAGUGGGUGUACAAGACAAAGAAAAAUGUCAACGAAGAGGUAGAAAGAUACAAGGCGAGACUAGUGGCGAAAGGCUAUAGUCAAAGAGCUAGAAUCGACUAUGAUGAGGUAUUUACCCCUGUAGCUCGGUUGGAAACUAUACAAUUACUAAUUUCUUUGGUAGCUCAAAACAAAUGGAUAUGAAGUCCGCUUUCCUAAAUGGAGUCCUUGAAGAAGAAGUCUACAUUCAGUAAACCGUUAGGCUAAGAAAUCUGUUGAUGCACAAAACCGGAGGGGUCUUGGAACAACGUAAAUCCGACCGUGAAUCUGCAAGAAAUGUAAAUAUCAUAAGAUGUAUCGUGGUUCACCCCAAUGUUUGGGCUACGUCCACACUGAUUGUAUUUCUCUAACUGUAUGUAUGGAUUACAAGAGUGAGAGGGAGUCCCCCAGAGAAAGGGAGAGUUUGAGAGGGCUCUCUGUUUUGUGAGCAUGAGAGCUUGAGAAAGAUGAGCUUUGUGAGGGUGAGAGGGCUUCCCCUAAUUAUAAGGGUGAGGAGUUCCUUUUAUAGAAUAAAGACUCCUCACUUAUUACAUAUUUGCCCCUUCCUUUAUUACAUAAUUACAUUUGAGUCCCCCGAGUAUUUAUACGAGGUCUAAAUACGGAUGCCCUAAGUAUGGGACAAACAGUAGUCCCCCAAGGGUUCAGUCAAGAGAGUCUUUUGGCUGGAGACUUGAAAUUCAGUUUAUAUGUAGGCCGAAGUAACUAGAUGUCGUCUUGAACUGAUACUCGAUAUGAGGCGAUGCUCAAUCUGAAAUGAUGCUCAACUAGAAGUAGCACAUGUUGCGAGGUUGCUCUGCUUGUGGCUUAUGUUGCCUUGGUUGGCUCGGUUUGAGGCGUUGAAGGUGAGGGAGUCCCUUUUAUAGAAUAAGGAUUUGCUCCUCAAUACAUAAAUGAUGGGCUAGAGUUGUUGCUUGCGGCGAGGCGGUUACUCAGCUGGUGGCGAUGCUCUCUAAUGAUGGUGAAUGAGUCCCUUUUAUAGAAUAAGGGUUCGCUCUUCAAUACAUAAGUGAUGAGCUAGGAGUGAUGCUCGCGGCGAGGCGGUUGCUCAGCAGGCGGCGAUGCUCUCUAAUGAUGGUGAGGGAGUCCCUUUUAUAGAAUAAGGGCUCGCUCCUCAAUACAUAAGUGAUGGGUGCUCUUUAAUGAAAAUGAGGGAGUCCCUUUUAUAGAAUAAGGGCUCACUCCUCAAUACAUAAAUAAUGGGCUAAGUCCCCCAAGUAUUUUUCAUGAGGCCCAGUUGUGCAAGCCCAAUAUAUGGUACAUAGUGUAGUCCCCCAAGUCUUCAGUCAAUAGGAUCUGUUGGCUGGAGACUUCAAAUUGAAUCUAUGUAUGGGCCAAAGUGGCGGUUGUUCGGAGGUGGUAUUUGUAUACCCUGCACUGAAGCUUUUAGGGGUGGGUUCAAAAAACCGAAAACCGAAAAAAACUGAAAACCAAAUCGAACCGAGGCCGAAAAAAACCGAACAGAAAAAAAACCGAACCGAAACUGUCAAACCGUACCGAACCGAAUCUGGCCAGUUCGAUUUCGGUUUUUGAGGUUCGGAAACCGAACCGAACCGAACCGAUAUAUAUAUUUAAUUUUUUUUUUCAAUAUUAUAAAUGGUUUAGUCAUACAAUCAUAACAAAACAUAACUUGUUGCCAAGUUGGUUUCUGUGAAGCUUUUCAAACUGCAAGGCAUGGGUUCGAACCCUCAUGCCUCCAGGAUUUCAGAGAGUUUUUUCAAAUUUUUUUUGAGAAAUCAACAAAACCCUUUUAACCCUAGCCAGCCAUAGCAGCCACACCUUUUAUUUUUUUUCAUUCUCCUCUUCUCUCUCUUGUGUUAAACUCUUUAACCCUAGGCAGCCACAGCCGGCGCAACACCCUUUAACCCAGUACUCUCUCAGUCUUCAACUUCAAUCACUCUCUGUGAGAAAAUCUUCAAGACUAAGUGCGCUCAGUGCCAUACCGUCGAGAAAGGCGCCGGUCACAAGCAGGGUAAUUUCAUCUUCUCUCCCUUCACUGAACCUUGAUUUUCCUUUUAUUUUUUGGCUUUUGAUUUCGAUGAUUUAUUGAUUUUUUUUUGGAUCUGACAAUUAUAAUCCAUUUUUUGCAUUUGGUUUUUGGAUUUGUGUAUUUGGAUAUUUGUUUUGAUUGUUAUUUGGAUUACUGAUUCGAUCUCUGCUGCGUGCCUCUUUCGAGGUCGUUCCUGUCAUCUCACGUCGUCUCGCCCCCGGCUCCGUCUACUGCAGCCCCCAACUCUACGCCAAGCUCCGCCCCGAAAUGGAUGCCGAUAACUCCUCCGCCGAUGCGGUUCGUUUCAUCUCUUCCUUCCUGGUUUACAGUUUGACAUCUUAUUCAGAAUACAUGAAUUUGAAUUUCAUUAAAUCUGUUGUUUUGUUUAUUAUUCUACAUAAUUAUUUAAUGAGGAAAUUUAAAUCAUUGAUUACAUUGGAUAUAGGAUUGCUGGUCGUUCCAAAUUGCUUAGUGAUUAGUACUUAAUCCGCCACACUGCUUAUUAUUUAGCCCAGGGAUUUGCGUUCACAGCCUUCCUUUCCGAUUUUUUCCCUACUGUAGCAUUAAAAUUUGUUGUCUUUACGUUUUAGUUUGGCAUUAUAUGUUUCUUUCCAUCUUCCUAUAAGUUCUGAACUUGUAAUUUGUUGGUUGGUUCUAUUAUAUGUUUCAGUCUGUUUGAACACUGGAAAUAAUGUUUUUAUUGUCAUAAAGGUGCAAAAUUUGUGAUUGUUAAUUCAUAAGCUGAAGGAAAAUUAUGUUUGUUUGUGCUCAGGGGUCGUCAAAGGCAGAAAAUCGUGAUUGGAUAUCGCGAUUCAUGGUCUUCACCUCUGGUGUUUGUUGGAUUGCUGGUUCAUGGUCGCCGGAGCUUGCUUCGACGACAGCAAGGGAACUAAGCAGCUAGGUUUUCAGUUUUUUUCUUUCUUUUUCGGGCUCAACCCUUGGGUUGGGUUGUUGUGCUAGCCCAUUUUUUUGUUUGUGUUUAGUUGUGGGCUUUUGAUAUGUAUGUAAGUUUAAUGAAAGUUUACAUUUUAUAAAAAUAAAAAAAAAUAAAAAUAAACCGAACCGGGCCGAAACCGAACCGAAAAAAACCGAACCGAAAAACCGAACCAUUUCAAACCGAACCCAGCCCUAGAAGCUUUGUAGGAGAAGCUUUGCAAGUUGAAGCUUUGAAGCUAGAGCUCUGUAAAUGAAGGUUUUGAAGCUAGAGCUCUGUAAAUGAAGCUUUUGAAGCUAGAGCUUUGUAAAUGAAGCUUUUGAAGCUAUAGCUUUUGUAAAUGAAGCUCUCGAAGCUAGAGCUCUUUAAAUGAAGCUUUUGAAGCUAGAGCUCUAUAAAUGAAGCUUUCGAAGCUGAAGCUUUUGAAGCUAGAGCUCUGUAAAUGAAGCUUUCGAAGCUGAAGCUUUUGUAAAUGAAGCUUUCGAAGCUAGAGCUCUGUAAAUGAAGCUUUUAAAGCUGAUUGACAUGAGUGAUGCUCAUGAAUGUUUAUGUUGAUUACAUGAGUGAUGCUCAUGGAUGUUGACAUGAGUGAUGAUCAUGAAUAUUGACAUAAGUGAUGCUCAUGAAUGUUGACAUGAAUGAUGGUCAUGAAUGUUUAUGUAUGAUUUGACAUGAGUGAUGCUCAUAUAUACUUUUAGAGUAAUGGACGUACUUUUGAUCACCUAGUUAGUGAUAAUAAUAGCAGGGUGUCGAAUAAAUUUGGAGUACUAAACCUACUUUUGAUCACCUGGUUGGUGAUAAUAGAGGGCCUGACUCUUUUAGGCAUAUAGACCUUUGCCCUCCACACAACAUUCCAGCCCAUUAUUUUGGGCUUGCCUUUUUUUUAAUUUUUUUAAUUUUUAUUAUUAUUAGUCACAUGCCCACUAUCCCAGAAUAACCCCACGAAGGAAAAUAUAAUAUAUAUAUUAUUCAUCACCUAAUGACAUAUAUUUAACCCAAGUACAUGUGCAAUAUUUAUUCAUGGCCUAGAAUAUUGUGACUACCAUUAAACUAUGUCGCUUAUACAACAUGUGAUUGACCACACGACUGAAUAAAUUAUUUAUUUAUAGGAGGCACAUAGUACAAUAUUUUGCCUUGACAAACUUUGUCAAUUUGAUUUAUUCAUUAUAUGGUCAUACUUAUAUUUUCAUUUAUUGUCAGGAAUUAUUGAACAACUAGAUCCACUGAUCAACAUUGUUGCUGAUUUAUAGACUGAUGAGCCACGUGCUCAUAAUGAUCUAUUGUCUGACCGGACACCCACUUGCUUGGACAUUCGCUUGUUGGGACACCUAUGUGCCUGGACCUAACUCGAUGACCCUACACAUAGCCCCAACUCGAUGACCCUACGUAUGGCCCCCACUCAAAGACCCGACUUGCGGACCCGAUCCGCGGAUCCGACACAUAGACCCAAUAUGCGAACCCGACAAGCGGAUCCGAGUCAUGUCGAGAAUCAACUCAUACUGAGGGCAUGUCGACAUAAAGUAGAUACUUGUAAUGAGGAAUACCACGAGCCAAGCUGCCUCGCAGCGAGCAUAGCCUCUAGCCGAGCCGCCUCGCAACGAACAUCGCCUCCAACCGAGCAAACGCCUGACCGCGAGCAUAGCCUCUAGCUGAGCAGCUUCGUAACGAGCAUUGCCUCCAGCCGAGUAAUCUCGUAACGUAUGAUACCUCUAGCCGAGUAUUGCUUUAUGUUGAGCAUUGCCUUGGGUUGAGUACUGGUUCAAGACAUCUAGCCACUUCGGCCCGUACAUAGAUUGGAUUUGAAGUCUCCAGCCAAAAGACUCUCUUGACUGAAGACUUGGGCGACUACUGUUAGUACUACACAUAUUGGGCCUCAGACCUUGACACAUUGGACCUCAAUAUUUGGGCCUCAUUACCCAGCCCAUAAUUAUGUAAAAUGAGGAGCCCUUUAUUCUAUAAAAUGGGACUCAUCCUCCCUCACAAAUUGGUCUCGGUGAACCCAACAGAGGGCAAUACCCUCACAAACACAACAACACUCUCUUCCUUAUGGGGACUCCCCUUGAGCUUGUAAUCCAUACAUAUAGUUACAGAGAAAUACAAUCAACAUCAGUGUGGACAUAGCCCAAACAUUGGGGUGAACCACGAUACAUCUUGUGUUAUUUACAUUUCUUGCAGAUUCACGGUCGGAUUUACGUUGUUCCAAGACCUCUGGUUUUGUGCAUCAACAAAAUCAAAGGGCACGAAGACAAAGUUCUGAAGCUAAAGAAAGCCCUCUAUGGGUUAAAACAAGCACCACGAGCAUGAAAUAGUCGCAUUGACAAGUACUUCCAAGAGAACAACUUCACCAAGUGCCCUCAUGAACAUGCUCUCUACGUCAAAGUCAAAUAUAGAGAUAUUUUGAUUGUGUGCUUAUAUGUGGAUGAUAUAAUCUUCAUUGGAAGUAAUUUAAGCAUAUUUGAAGAGUUCAAGAGAGUGAUGACCAAAGAAUUCGAGAUGACCGACAUCAGGCUGAUGGCAUACUACCUAGGCAUUGAAAUCAAGUAGAACGAAGAAGGCAUUUUCAUCUCCCAAGAAAGCUACACAAAUGAGAUACUGAAAAAAGUUCAAAAUGGACGACUACAAGCCCAUCAGCACGCUAGUGGAGUGCGGAGUCAAACUAACCAAGCAUGACAAAGGAGAAAGCGUAGAUCCAACAUUUUUCAAAAGUCUAGUUGGAAGCUUGCGCUACUUGACUUGCACAAGACUAGAUAUUCUUUAUGUCGUCGGAUUAGUCAGUCACUACAUGGAGAAUCGUACAACUACACACAUGAAGACCGCCAAAAGAAUUCUUCGAUACCUUAAAGGUAUCAUUAACUUUGGCUUGUUAUAUUCAAGUUCUAGUAACUAUAAACUUGUAGGAUAUAGCGACAGUGAUUGGGUAGGAGAUUCCGACGAUAGAAAAAGCACUACUGAAUUUGUGUUCUUCAUGGGAGACAUUGCAUUCACAUGGAUGUCGAAGAAUCAACCGAUUGUCACUUUUUCUACCUACAAAGCUGAAUACGUAGCUGCUACCUCAUGUGUUUGUCAUGCAAUCUGGUUAAGAAACUUGCUGAAAGAAUUAAGCAUGCCACAAGAAGAGCCAACAGAGAUCUAUGUCGACAACAAGUUUGCAAUAGCUCUAGCAAAGAAUCCAGUAUUCCAUGAUAAGAGCAAACACAUAGAUACCUGCUACCAUUACAUAAGAGAGUGUAUUGCAAGAAAAGAUGUGCAAGUGGAAUACGUGAAGUCUCAAGAUCAAAUUGCGGACAUAUUCACUAAGCCACUCAAACAAGAAGACUUUAUCAGAAUGAGGAACUCAAUCGGUGUCACAAGACAAGAUUAAGGGGGGAUGUUGAAUUGUAAUCUUGCCUUGGCCCAAGACAAUUGAUCCGACCCAUAGGCAAAGAAAGAUCCAUGCACAUGCUAGAGAGUUAUAACAAAGUUCAAGUUGGUGGAAUGCAUGCAUAAAUAUCUAAGGCUUUUUGUAGAAAGUUCUAGAAUCUUGUAAAAAUGUGUGGUUGUUAAGCAUUAGCUAGAAAGUUCUAGCAAUGCCAAAGUUGGCAAACCUUGCCUAUAAAUAGGUGAGGUGCUAAGCUAUGUGAUGUAACAACUAAGAGAGCAAGUAGUGAGAAGUGAGAGUGUCAAGUGAGAAGUGAGAGGAAGCAACAAAGCUUCUAAGAGUGUUUGAGUGUUUCAUCUUGUACUAAGUUUGUGAGUGAAUAAAAAUCUUGUGUAAUACUUUGAGUAUACUUUCUUUCUCUUGCCUAUCAAUUCAGCUGUAUUACAUUCUUCUUUGUCAGAUAAACAUCUCAAAAGUAGUGAAGUCUUUUUAAGCCCCAACAUGGCCAUCACAGUUUAGGUACUUUUUUUUUUUAGGAAAAUUAAUGAAAAUGGCUUAAAAACUUUGAGUUUUAAUGAUAAGAACAAAAUAAAGGGUAAAGUGAAUAGUACCAGGAUUGACUUUUUAGUUUAAAAAUGUGAUUUUUCGUUAAAUUGAACAAUAUCGAGAGCUUUUCGUUAAAGUUCCAUUUUUUUUGUAAAUUUUCAAAAUUCUCUCUUAUUUUACCUGCUCUGAUAUUUUUAUUUUGGGUAAAAGAUUGUUUACUACCCUCAUGUUUUGUGGUUUUCAACAUUUAGUACAUCAAGUUUUUUUCGUCUCAGAUUCAUACCUAAAGUGUAAAUUUUGGGAUAGUCUCAUACAUACGUUAGUCAAACUGUUAAAUUUGUCGUUAAUUAUGACGUGGCGCCAUGAUUGGGCACCACGUGUCAUCCACGUUUUUUUUUUCUUCUUUCUUCUUCUUCCUUCUUCUUCCUUCUUCUGCAACUUUUUUUUCUUCCUCCUUCCUCCUUCUUCCUUCCCCUUCUUCUCCUUCUUCCUUCUUCCUUCCUUCUCCUUCUCCUUCUCCUUCUUCUUCUUCUUCCUCCUUCUUCCUCUUUCUUCUUCUUCUUCUUCUUCCUCUGACUGCAACUUUUUUUUCUUCUUCCUCCUUCUCCUUCUUCCUUCCUCCUUCUUCCUUCCCCUUCUUCUCCUUCUUCCUCCUUCUUCCUUCUUCUUCUUCCUCCGAAUCUGGGGAAGAUGAAGGUUUUUUUUUUCUUUCCUUUUCUUCCUCCUUCUUCUCCUUAUUCUCCUUCUUUCUUCCUCCUUCUUCCUUCCCCCUUCUUCUUCUUCUUCCUUCUUCUUCCUUCUUCUUCCUCCGAAUCUGGGGAAGAUGAAGGUUUUUUUUUCUUUUCUUUUUCUUCUUUCUUCUUCUUCCUCCUCCUUCCUCCUUCUUCGUCCUUCUUCUUCUUCUUCUUCCUCCGACUGCAACUUUUUUUUUUCUUCCUCCUUCUCCUUCUUCCUUCCACUUCUUCUCCUUCUUCCUUCUUCUUCCUUCUUCUUCUUCUUCCUCAAAUUUGGGGAAGAUGAAGGUUUUUUUUUUAUUUUUUAUUUUGAGGAAGAUGAAGAAGAAGGAAGAAGGAAGAAGGAGAAGAAGGGGAAGGAAGAAGGAGAAGAAGAAGAAGGAAGAAGGAGGAAGAAGAAGAAGGAAGAAAAAAAAAGUUGCAGUCGGAGGAAGAAGAAGAAGAAGAAGAAGAAGAAAAAAAAACAAAAAAAAAAACUUCCCCAGAUUCGGAGGAAGAAGAAGAAGAAGAAGGAGAAGGAGAAGGAGAAUGAAGAAGAAGGAAGAAGGAGAAGAAGGAGAAGGAAGAAGGAGGAAGAAGGAAGGAAGAAGGAGAAGGAGGAAGAAAAAAAAAUUGCAGAAGAAAGAAGAAAAGAAAAAAAAAAUCAUGGAUGGCACGUGGCGCCCAGUCAUGGCACCACGUCACAAUUAACGGCAAAUUUAACAGUUUGAUUAACGGAUGUAUGAGACUGUCCCAAAAUUUACAUUUUAGGUAUGAAUCUGAGACGAAAAAAACUUGAUGUACUAAAUGUUGAAAACUACAAAACAUGAGGGUAGUAAAUAGUCUUUUACCCUUUUAUUUUUGUUGACAUGGUAACAUAGUCGGGGAUUCGCAGAGUUGUUACCUUUUGAAUUCAUUGUAUAUACCUGAUGAAAUAAAAAAGAGAGAAUAGACUGUAAAUAUAUUAUUGUUUUAAAUAACUAUUCUUUCCCUUAUUGUAUUCAGAACAAAUAUUAAGCUAAGAAAAAUGAACCAAGCUGGCAACAUUGACUAAUAAAAUAGUCUCCAACUUCUUGAUGGAUGAAUAUGCAUGAAGGAGGAUUAACAUUGACCAUCCACCCCUUAGAGAAUUUAAUCAUACUACUAACUCAAGACUCAAUCUUUGAUGACUUGCAUUUGUUAUAAUUAGUGCAAUUCCGCUAAUUAAUAACUGUUAAUGUCAGUGAGAAAUACUCAGACUAUUCAAGGUUUUUCUUAUUCUUCAAAAUGGUGCUUUAAUUGUCUAUUUCUGUGAAAUGAAGAACAAUAUAGAGGAGAGGAAGACGAUCGAUGAACUAAUAACAAACAAUACAAGCUGAGGUUUGAGAAGAAAUUAAGGAUCUUACCAAGAACCACUCCAACUUGUGGAAUCAAGCCAAGCAGGUGGAAAGCACUAGCACCAAAGAUACCAGUCCCAAACAAUUCAAAGAAGAUUUCAGAUCCUCUUGAAAUGUAAUGAUCUGCGAGGGAGAGCAAGACCUCGUAGACGAUUAUCAGAAAAAGAAGCCCCCAAACUGAAGUUGCACAAGGCAAGAAGCCAUAAAUUGGUUCACAAGUCACAGAAUCUGCUUUAAGAUUCAGUGCUUCGACGAUCGAAGAUUGGCUUGUUUCGUCGUUUAUUCCAUCGGAUAUAAGACCGGAGUCUCUAACAAUCCGGCUGCUUCCUAAAUGGACUAGUUGGAGGACCAGAAAAAUGAUGAACAGAGCUGGUCUUGACAUAUCCAGAGACACACAGCUUUGUAAUGAAAAAUUAUUACAAAUGAGAAGGAAAAUUGGUGCUUGAUUAGGUUUAAAUGGAGAUCAAUACCAUGCAAGUUGUGACAUCAGACAAAAAUAGGUAAAAAAUCAAGCAAGUUGCUUGACAUUAGCAAAUCCCUCUUUUCCUUCGUCUAGAUUUUCAACAAUAAGAACGAAGGAUAAUGUCGCGGGUUUGCAGAAAAAGCUGCCUGCUACCUAAUUGGAUUUUUUAAAUAAUUUAACCAAACAUAUUCCUAUACACUUGCCCCACAAUGCCAUCAACCAUUGCAUAGUUUUGGAUAUAAGUAAUGAAGCUCCUUAAAUAUAAAUGCACACAUUAAUGAAUAAAUUGAAUAGUGUAUCGAAUUAUAUGUAUCUAAGUUAGGUCAGUUGGUCAUGACAGUGUAUUUCUUGCACUUAAAUAUUAAAUUUUCCUUAUAAUAAAUUAGAGUAGUUUAAAAUAUGUAUUGUCUUAUGAUAAAAUAACCACAAUGUAGAAACAAAUUAAUAACUCUUAAUGUAAAAAUAUUAAUGUAUUAAUAAAAUAAAUCCAUAUGAAGAUUCACUAGUGAGCUAUAGUAUUGGCAUGUCUCUUUCAGUAUCCUAAUUGUCUGCAGAAUCUACUAAGAUUUUCAAUGCCAACUUGUAAUUUAAAAAAAUGGUUAAAUAUCCAAACGUGGGCUGCAGUCUACAGAGUGAAUGGUAGACGUGGGUUGAUUUUAAAGAAAGUUGAAGUUCUAUAAAAAAACUAAAUAGUUAUAAGGGGAGUAGUCUAACUUUUUAUGAGCUCAUGCAAGGUCUCUCAUUUUAUCAAUGUGAGACUCAUUCUCGACACGUCCUGUGGCGAAUUUUCAAGCCUAACAUGUAGACAACACAACAGGAUGACGUAGAGCGUGUGUGACCGUUUGGCUUCACACAUGAGACAACCUGCUCUGUUACCAUAAAGAAAGUUGAAGUUUCACCAUAAAACCAAUUGACUAUAUGAAGAGUAGUCCAACAUCUUAUAAGCUCAAGCAAGGUUCCUCCUCCUAUUAACGUGAGACUCAUUCUCAAUAGAUUUUGGUGAAGCAGUAGCUUGCUUUCUAGUUUUUUUUUUCCUUCAUCAGUAUGAGGAUCUUUGUAUCCCAUGCAUUUAUGACAAGAGAUUUGGACUAACAUAAAGAUAACCAAUGACUACAACAGUCUCUCUUUUUUUCAUUAGCAAAGAGGUAUUUUAAAUUACUUUAACUUUAACGGUAUUUCAAAUUACUAUAAUUUAUAGAAAGGUAAUCUUUAAGUUUAUGUUUUUAUUUAGUCUGGAUUAUAUUUGCUGUAACAUUUAGAUGGCUACAAUGAAAGCGUAUUUUGCUGUAAUAAUAUUUGGUAGUCGCGAAACUGCUGGCUUAAGACCAUCCGAUAACAGUGGUAAGAACAUGAACCAGCAGCAGUGAUAUUGGGUACAAAAUGUAUGCUAGAAUGCAUGUCCAAAAUGGGAACUUUCUGCUGAAGCUGGCAGAAAAACCUACCGCUGUCGAAAUAAGUAAAACAACUAAAACUUCAGCAGCCACGUCCCAUGAUAAAUUUCGUAUGUAAACGAGCGCCAAAAAUAUGACCAACCCCACAAUGUUGUUCAUGAACGCCGCUGUGUAAAUCUGCAGAGAACAAUUCAAACGUUAGAUAAUAUUGAUCAUAUGGGGUUGCAGUGUUGUGUUUUGCUCACGGAAAGUAUUAGGGACUAAAAUUUGAUAUAUAAAUCGGGAGAAUAAGUGUUUGACAUCAUUAGACGCUCAAGCGUGUGAUAGUAGUUAAAACAAUAUAUUUGAGUUCAUGGAGAGAAACAGACCUCAGAAAGUGUUAAAGAGAUGGCAUCCUCCGUCUUCUCUUUGGCAGACGUUACUGACAUUAGCGCCAGUCUGUAGUUUGUAGCCAAGGGUAUCACAACAUACGAGGCCGCGAAAGAAGGGAUGCUUGCAGCAGUGGAAAAUUUUCGGAGACUUACCAUGAGGGGCAUUGAAAGAAAAACCGUUAUGGCAGUUCCUAGAAUAAUUAGAAAAGCAGCCUUCAGGAGAUUCAUCCACGAUGUAUCAGCACCCUUAGUCCCAUUUUUCUUAGAGAUCAGCAGCGUAAGCUGAUCUUCCAUAGAUUUCUCAUUCUGCAAGUGCAGUUUAAUGACCCGGAUGAAACUCUAGUUUUUAUAAUCAUUCAAAUUAGUCCUAUCAGGCAAAUGCGGGCGUUAUAGCAGAUGUGCUCCUCCCCUAUGCAGGUAAUUUCAAGUCGCUCUCUCCAGGGUUCACAUUAGUUUAAAGUAAAAUAUUGCUUGUGUAAAAAAAAUGUACUAGUAUAGUCUUACCGGGGCUGAAUUAUACCUUGGAAUUAUUUCUUCUGAAAAGCGAUGUAUGUUCAUGACCUUUAUCGUUGGCAGGGGGCUUGGCUGGAUUAAUCCAUUUUGAGAUUCCAUUCACAAACUCCGUCUCAGCUAUUUGAGCGUCGCCAGAGAGAUCAAAUUGCUUCAUCACUUCUGAUACAUAAUCAUCGUCAUCCAGACCUAUUUCUUCUAUUUGUAUUCCUAGGAUCAAUGCUCUAAGUUCAUCUGAUGAUAUGUAUUUGUUAUGAUUCUUGUCUAUUCUAUGGAACAGCCUGCAAAUAAAUUUAGAAAAUGACUAAAUGAUAAGAUCAUACCAUUUCAACGAUUUAGGUGAACUAAAAACAGAAACCGGGUACUUACCCUUUUAUAAUAGAUACAUUAGGGUUUCCGCCUACUGUCAUAAGACUCGGCAGUAUGUUUUUCGGUAUGUACUUACGUAGCAAAUAUUCAAGCCUUCUACUCUGAAUCCAUGGUUGAAAGAACUGCAUAAUUUUUUUCUGUCAAUUACGAAGUUCACGAAUACAACAUUUCUAACUUAUGUACUGUGUUCAUCAUUGCUAAAACAUUCAGUCUUUUUCGAAUUCUUAUUAAGUUAUUUCAUCUUUCAGACACAAUAAAUCGAACUUUUACUAUUAUCUAAGUAUUGCCGAGCAGAUUUUAUAUUCUUGAAGUUGUGUUACCUGGUAAAUGAAGUAAGUGGCAAGGAAUGCAGAUGCAAUCAGUAGAGCAAUUAAGAUCACAACUCGAACCGCUGUGGUUGAAGUCAAGAUUUUUGCCAGCUGAAGAAUGAGAUAUGGGAUCAACGAGAACAUCAUGAUUCUUGCAGUAUCUCGCGUUUCGACAUCAGUUCUUACACCAGAACCUGCACAACCAUGUUUACUUACACAUCAAGUUGUCAUAUUUUAGAGCUCUUUCUUUCUGUGAGUGUUGAUUAGUGUUUGUGAAGAUUAGAGAAGUAACCAGUUAAACUGAAGGGUUUCGUAUUUUCUGGAUUUGAUGAAGUUUGAGAAUCCGAGAGGUCAGAGCUACCGAAAGCAACAGCAAGUAAACCAGUUAAGGGUUUCUUAUUUUCUGGAUUUGAUAAAGUUUGAGAUUCCGAGAGGUCGGAGCUACCAAAAGCAACAACAGAACCCCAAAUUAGGGUAAGAAUCAUGAUUGAUGAUCCUGCAAGCAUGCUCAUGCUCAUUUCUGCCAUUUCCUCCACAGUUUCUGUAGUUGCUGUAACUCCAAUUACUGGGGAACAAAAUGUGAAUUUCUGUCAUGAAUUUACAAAAUACAAUACAUGUCAUGCAUAUUUCUACUUUGAUUUAAAAGUUACAACCAAAACUUCUAAACUUUCUCCAAAUAGUCAAGCAAUUACUAGGCAAGUCAAAAUCAUACUAUUAAUCCACUAAUACUCAUUCACACUCUUAACACACCUUGUCACAUGUAAGGUUACUUAAAUUUAACGCGUGAACAAUACAUAUUAAACACGUGAGUUGUUAUGAUCAACGAUUCAACACCUGCGUAUAGUUUGCUUUGAUGCCAUAAUAUAUUAUGGUUAUCACAAAUUAGGUACUUUUUUUUUGUAAUUUUUCAAAAUUCUGUCUUCUUUAUACCUGCUCUUCAUAUUUUUAUGGUCGGGAAACAAUUAUAAAAUGACAAACUAUGAAGCUGUACACCUAGAUUUAUAGCAUAAUAGAUUUUAUAGAGAGGAAGACGAUCGAUGAGGUUAUAACAAACAAUACAUGCUGAGGCUUGAGAAGAAAUUAAAGAGGUUACCAAGAACCAUUCCAACUUGUGGAAUCAAGCCAAGCAGGUGGAAAGCACUAGCACCAAAGACACCAGUCCCAAACAAUUCAAAGAAGAUUUCAGAUCCUCUUGAAACGUACUGAUCUGCGAGGGAGAGCAAGACCUCGUAGAUGAUUACUAGAAAAAGAAGCCCCCAAACUGAAGUUGCACAAGGCAAGAAGCCAAAAAUUGGUUCACAAGUCACAGAAUCUGAUUUAAGAUUCAGUCCUUCGAGGAUUGAAGAUUGGCUUAUUUCAUCGUUUAUUCCAUUGGAUACAAGACCGGAGUCUCUAACAAUCCGGCCGCUUCCUAAAUGGACCAGUUGGAGGACCAGAAAAAUGAUGAACAGAGCUGGUCUUGACAUAUCGAGAGACACUUAGCUUUGUAAUGAAAAUAUGUCAAUGAGAAGGAAACUUGGUGCUUGGUUAAUUAGGUUUAAAUGGAGAUCGAUACCAUGCAAGUUGUGACAUCAGAAAAAAUGGACAAAAAAAAUCAUACAAGUUGUCUGACAUAAGCAAAAUCCAUCUUUUCCUUCGUCUAAAUUUUGAACAAGUAAGAACAAAAGUUGGUAAUGUAUAUAAUGUGGCAGGUUUACAGAAACAGCUACCUACUUAUUUGGAUUUUUAAACAAUUUGACCACAUAUAUUCUUCUAUACUUGCUCCACAAUGACAUUAAUUAUUGCAUAACAUUUUGGAUAUAAGUAAUGAAACUCUCUAAAUAUAAAUGCACACAUUGACAAAUACCUUGACUAGUCGAUUGUAUUGUGCGUAUAAAAGUUAGAUCAGUUUGUCUCAAAUAUCGAGUUUUUCUUUCCGGUAAAUUAGAAUAGUUUAAAAUAUGUAUCGUCUUAUCACUCUUAUUAUUUAAAAUAACCACGUAGUAACAAAAUAUAUUAUAUUGAUGACAAGCAUAACAAGUAUUCGCCCGAGGAGAUUCAUAUGAAGAUCAGCAGAGAGCUUUAGUAUUCGUACGUAGGUCUCUUUCAUUAUCUUAUCUGUCUACGGAAUCUGAGUUAAUCAAUCAAAGUACUAAGAUUUUUCAAUGCUUACCUUUAAUUUUUUUUAAAAUGGUUUAAGAUUAAACAUGGGCUGCAGAGUGGUCUAGGUGGGUUGAAUUUUGGUGAAGCAAAAGCUUGUUUUCUAGGUUCCCGACAACUACAAUAGUCUUCUUUUUCUUGUCAUAUGCAUGGGAUACCAUGGGGAACAAAUAUAUUUAAGGCUUUAGUGACUUCUUAUCUCUCAAAACCUUUGUGACCUUCUGUUUUAAUUGAAUUGCCAAGUAACUAUUAUAAAAAGGCCGUACCCAGUGCACAAGGCUCCCGCUUUACGCAGGGUCUGGGAGAGGUGAAUGUCGGCUAGCCUUACCCCCAUUUAUGGAGAGGCUGCCAAGUAACUAUUAUACUCUUAAAUAUUUAGGUAAAUUACAUAAAAUUGCCUUAAUUAUUGGGUCAGUCACAGUUUCAUAUCUCAUCUUUAAAAAAUUUCAAUGCCAUACCUCAUCUACGAAUUUUUUACAAUUUCAUACAUUCCGUCAAUUUUCUUUUAAUUUUUCCGUAAAAUGCUGACGUGGAUUGAGGCGGGGCCAUUCCCUGGCCCAACUAGAUUAUAAAAUUAAUUAAAUAUUAAAAAAAUAAAAAAUAAAAUCAUUUAAAUAUUUUUAUUUUAUUUUAAAAAGGUGGAACCCAUCCCUUACAAACCCAUCACCCCACCCCUUAUUCCCAGUUCACCCCAACAUCGAACUCACCCAUCUCCGAUCACCCCAACCUCUCUUCCGCCACCUCUUCGACUCCUCAUCCCUCCGUUCACCUCCGUCCCUCCAUUCCACCAGAUCUAUACCACUCACAGGCUCGAACCCGACCCGAUCCCCCUUGUCUUUAUUCCGCAACCACCUCCCCGACCCGAUCCCACACUCUCUCGUCUCUCUCCUCUGUAAACCCUAAAAAGCAAACCCCCAAACUCUCCCUCUCUUCACUUUCUCUCUACAGAGAGCCAGCAGAAGCCAUGAAAGAACUAGACCGCCAAUCUCUCAACCGGUAAGCUCCGCACCCAGAGCGACGUCGACUUGAUCCUGGCUCGCCUUAACAGCACGUCGCCGAUGCCGAGAUUUUGAUCAAGAGCGGCGUCCUUCUGGACUUCGAUGUCUCGUUCGUCAGCAACUCCUCCUCCAUGAGGGAGACAGUCCAGGCCUAGUGCCGGAACCUAGUGACUUGACUCCAAAUAGGAAGCGCCGAAUCGAGGAACUCGACGAUGGAGGCGCUUGUAGGGCUUCUGCAGGAAGACGACAAACAUGUCACUCUUGGACAUUUUCCAGGGCAGCACACCCGUCUUGCAAGCUUCGGCGGCGGGUGUGCUGAGAAAUUUGGUUGGGUUUGCCGAGAAUUAAAAAAUUAUGGAUUUUUUUUUCAAAAUUUGUUUGUUUCUAGGGAGAGAUGAGAAGAGUAGGGGAAUGGGAUAAGUGGCCGAGGCGGGUGGGGGGAUGUUGGCGCGAGUGGGAUCUUGGUUUGGGGUGGUUCUGGUUUUGGUUAGGGGAAGACGAGAGCGAGGAAAAAUUUUGAUGGGGAUAAGGGGUGGGUGAUGGGUUUGUAGGGAUGGGUCCCAUCUUUUUUUAAUAAAAUAAAAUUAUUUAAAUGAUUUAAAUUUUUUAAUUUUUUAAAAUUUAAUUAAUUUUUUAAUCCAGUUGGGCCAGGGAGUGGGCCUCGCCUCAAUCCACGCCAGCAUUUAACAGAACAAUUGACAGAAAACUGACGGAAUGUAUGAAAUUGUAAAAAAUUCGUAGAUGAGGAAUGACAUUGAAAUUUUUUAAAUAUGAGGUAUGAAACUGUGACUGACCCAAUAGUUGAGGUAGUUUUAUAUAAUUUACCCGUAAAAUUUAGUAUACCAAUCCUUUGUAAUUUCCCUAUUUAAAGGGCUCUAUAUGUAUCCUUAAAGUAGUGAAAUUAGUGAAUUAAAGUUAAUCUAAGAAGAGAGUGAGUUUUCUACUCCUUAAAAUCAAGUGUGAGACUUGGUCAUGUCAAGUGAAUCCACGAUUAGCUAUGAGUGAAUAUGUUGUUCCUAGUUGAGUGAUUCCCAGGUUCUAUCUCCGUAGAAACGCAAGUGAUUUCGUCCCCUCUGGUUGAGCGAUUACCAGGUUACUACCCCUUGUCUUUUCGAGACUCUUGGUCUUUUCUGCAUCAAGUGGCAUCAGAACAGGUUCUCUGUUGUGGAGUUAAAAGGAAAAAAUAAAAAUUCGUGUUGUUGAUUAUACACUUUUUUAAAUUUUAGUUCUCUUUGUUCGAGUCACCCAAAAGGUUACAUAUCAUUGGAAAGGUCUGGGAGUCCACUUUCCAACAAAACAGACUGUCACAUCCUGGCCCGAGGUCCACCACAUCCUGGGCCCGCUCCACCACUGUAGCACGAUAUUGUCCGCUUUGGGCCUCGAGUACGCCCUCACGGUUUUGUUUCUGGGAACUCACACGAGAACUUCCCAGUGGGUCACCCAUCAUGGGAUUGCUCUCGUGCGCUACUCGCUUAACUUUCGAGUUCCGAUGAACUCCGAAACCAGUGAGCUCCCAAAAUGCCUCAUGCUAGAUAGGGAUGAGAAUAUACAUAUAAGAUCACUCCCCUGGGCAAUGUGGGAUCUUACAAUCCACCCCCCUUAAGGGGCCCGACGACCUCGUCGGCACACCACAGCCAGGGUUAGGCUCUGAUACCAAUUGUCACAUCCCGACCCGAGGUCCACCAUAUCCCGGGCCUGCUCCACCGCCGUUGCAUGAUAUUGUCCGCUUUGGGCCCCGACUACGCCCUCAUGGUUUUGUUUCUCGGAACUCACACGAGAACUUCCCAGUGGGUCACCCAUCAUGGGAGUGCUCUCGCGCGUUACUUGCUUAACUUCCGAGUUCCGAUGAACUCCGAAGCUAGUGAGCUCCUAAAAGGCCUCGUGCUAUGUAGGGAUGAGAAUAUACAUAUAAGGAUCACUCUCAAGGGCGAUGUGGGAUCUUACACAAACAGUGCCUUAGUCAAAUUUUUUGCAGCAAUUUGCUAGCAAAUAGUGAAAGGUGUACGUUUUGUGUAAAAUCUACAAGGCGCGGUUUCUUUUUCAACGAAGAGAUAUACCAGCAUCUUGUUCCAAUGAAUAAUAAUUAGGCAUAUGAAAGCCACUCUAGUAUGUUAUUUAUGGAGGAGGAUAUGUUUUAUUCACAAAGAAUUGAUUGGAAUCUACCUCCAUUAUAUGAUGGGUGUUCGGAGGAUGGUGUUUUGAUGAUUCCUAUCCAAACAGUUGCUAACGUUGAAGUGAAUGUUGAAGAACAUGCUUUGAUAGAUAUUUACAGCUUGCAAAGUUCAAAAUACGAAGGAUUUGGAUUGUUUCAAGAUGAGAAGAUUGAUAGUCCAAUGUUAAGUUCAUCACUAAGCUAUGGGCAUGUAAAAUUGUGGUCACGAGUCACGACCAAGUGAUGAAGGAGCUAUUCAAAAUUUGCUUUUUAAUGUUAAAGAUCAAGUUUUGGGGACGUUACAACUGAUGGCAUAUCGUUGAGAAGGUCGAAAACCUAAAUUCAAAUCAAGAUUAAAAAGAUACAAACUUGAGGACGAGUUUUUUUUGGAAGAGUAGAAUGAUGCAGUGCAUGGGGAACAAAUAUAUUUAAGGCUUUAGUGACUUCUCAUCUCUCAAAACCUUUGUGACCUUCUCUUUUAAUUGCAUUGCCUAGUAACUAUCCUACUCUUAAAUAUUUAGUAUACCAAUGCUUUGUAUUUUCCCUAUUUAAAGGGCUUCAUAUGUAUCUAAGAAGAGAGUGAGUUUUUUCCUCCUUAAAAUCAAAUGUGAGACUUGGUCGUGUCGAGUGAAUCCACGAUUAGCGACGUGAGUGAAUCCGUUGUCCCUGGUCAAGUGAUUCCUAGGUUCUAUCCCAGUAGAGAAGUGAGUGAUUUCGUCCCCCUUGGUUGAGCGAUUCCCAAAUUACUACCCCUUGUCUUUUUGAGACCCUUGGUCUUUUCUGCAUCACAUGCAUAAUCAAUGACUACAAUAGUCUUUUUAUUCUACUAACAAAGUUGUGUUUUAAAUUACUUUCACUUAUUCCCGAGAACUAGUCGAACCCGCAUAUGCAUGCACGAUAGAGUAAUCAUCACGAAUGAUUCAGUGGUUGGGGAUGAAUUCCAGUCCCUUAUUUCAUACAACCCGUUCUAGAAUCGAUUCUUGGCGCUAGUGAAUAACACGAUGAUAUGAUCAUGAAAAGAUUAAAAUGUCUUUAUGAGUCUUUCCGAUCUUUGAAAAAAAAAAAUUGUAGUGGUGAAGCCACCAACUGUUCCCUUUUUCAAAACAGGAAAAGCAUAUGCAGGAAUAAUAGUCUUACCGUCAACCUAAUGCUACAACAAGAACCAAGUGACCGCCCAACCCGUGUACGUCUACAUAAUCAAAGGGUUGAAGAAUCAUUAUAUAGAAAAUUUGGGGUCUAAAUCAUUGAAUUCAAAAUUUGUACCGUUGAUUUUACAUAGGAAAAUUAUAGAUGUCAGCAUGUGUGAUGCGACUCCAUGAUCACGUCGAAUCCUUAUGAAAAUGAAUCCAGAACAAAAUCGCGCUAAAGCUAGGGCGUCACCCGUAAGUGGCGCGCUGUGUGGCCUGAGCACAGUGAUAAGUGAGCAAGGGUCGCUGUAUCUCCAUCGGCACCCGGAUGCAGUGUUAAAUGAGCAAGGGGGCCAUAGAAACUUCUUUUCGAACGACUCCACUCAAAGUUGUUUGGGAGCAUAUGCUCCUAUCAACUUUACCCGGGACACACAAAAGAAGUACUUUGAUCCUAUUAGACGGGGGAGAGUGAAGAAGCUAGCUAGACAGAGAAGGGUAGAGUUCAAGAGAGCAAAAUGCGUUUAGGAACGUGGAAUAUAGGAACCUUAACGGGAAAAUCUAUGGAAGUAGUGGAAGUUAUGGUGAGGAGAAGGAUAAAUAUUAUGUGCCUACAAGAAACUAAGUGGGUUGGUAGUAAGGCAAAGGAUUUAGAAAACUCAGGGUUUAAACUUUGGUAUUCGGGCACAAAUAGAACGAGAAACGGUGUUGGCAUCAUCGUGGACAAGACCUUGGUACAAGAUGUUGUAGAUGUCAAGAGGGUAGGAGAUAGAAUCAUGGCAAUCAAGAUUGUAAUAGGACAAGAACUUAUCAAUGUGAUUAGUGCGUACGCACCUCAAGUAGGGUUGGAUACGAGUUCGAAGGAGAAAUUUUGGGAAGAUCUUGGAGACUUGGUGCAAGGAAUUGCUCAGACGGAGAAGUUAUUUAUAGGAGGAGAUUUAAAUGGACACGUGGGCAGGGAGACAGGCAACUAUGGAGGUUUUCAUGGUGGCCAUGGUUUUUGGGGAGAGAAACGAGGAUGGGGAAGCUAUCUUGGAUUUUGCAAUGGCAUAUGAUCUCUUCUUAGCCAACACCUUCUUUAAGAAGAGAGAAGAACAUGUGAUCACCUACAAGAGUGGGUCGUCAAAAACACAAAAUAGAUUUUCUUCUAAUGAGGAAAGGGGAUCGUAUAACUUGUAAGGAUUGCAAAGUUAUACCAGGAGAGAGCGUGGCUAAUCAACAUCGCUUUGGUGAUGGAUGUACAUAUCAAAAGAGUAAGACAAAAGAACAAGACUUGGAAGUGCCCAAGGACUAGAUGGUGGAAUCUAAAAGAAGAAAAAACAAGUCAUUUUCAAAGAGAAGGUAAUCACCCAAUGUGUGUGGGAUAAAGAGGGGGAAGCUAGCCAAAUGUGGGAUUCCAUGGCUAGUUGUAUCCGAAAAGUAGCAAAAGAGGUAUUAGGAGAGUCCAAGGGCUUUGCCCCACACCAAAAGGAAUCUUGGUGGUGGAAUGAGGAGGUACAAACAAAGGUGAAGGCUAAGAAGGAAUGUUGUAAAGCCUUAUACAAGGAGAGGACCGAUGAAAAUGGUGAAAGGUAUAGAAAAGCGAAGCAAGAGGCGAAAAAAGCUGUCAGAGAGAAGCUAAGUUAGCGGCUUACGACGAUAUGUAUAAACGACUAGAUACCAAAGAAGGAGAGUUAGAUAUCUAUAAACUAUCUAGAGCAAGGGAAAAGAAGACAAGGGACCUAAACCAAGUGAGGUGCAUCAAGGAUGAGGAUGGAAAGGUUCUUGCUACAGAGAACGCGGUUAAAGACAGAUGGAGAGGUUAUUUUCAUAAUCUUUUCAAUGAAGGACAUGAAAUGAGUGAUUCUUUAGGGGAGUUGAGUAACUCAGAAGAGUGUAGAAACUACUCUUUUUAUCGUCGAAUCCGGAAGGAAGAAGUGGUUGUAGCUUUGAAGAAGAUGAAGCAUAAAAAAGCAAUAGGCCCAGACAAUAUACCAAUCGAAGUGUGGAAACUUUUGGGAGAGACAGGUAUAACAUGGCUCACUGACCUUUUCAAUAGGAUUUUUGAAAACGAAGAAGAUGCCAAAUGAGUGGCGAACGAGCACUUUGGUGCCUAUCUACAAGAAUAAGGGCGACGUACAAAAUUGCAUGAACUAUAGGGGUAUUAAGCUAAUGAGUCAUACAAUGAAGCUCUGGGAGAGAGAGUCAUUGAGCAUAGAUUGAGGCAAGAGACACGGGUUUCGGACAACCAAUUCGGGUUCAUGCCAGGGCGCUCAACCAUGGAGGCAAUCUAUCUCUUACGAAGAUUGAUGGAAAGAUAUAGAGAUGGGAAAAAGGAUUUACACAUGGUCUUUAUAGAUUUGGAAAAAGCGUAUGAUAGGGUCCCAAGAGACAUUCUUUGGAGGAUUUUAGAGAAGAAAGGAGUACGAGUAGCAUAUAUCCAAGCUAUAAAGGAUAUGUAUGAAGGAGCAAAGACUGCCGUAAGAACUCAUGAAGGACAAACCGAAAGCUUUCCCAUAACUGUAGGAUUACAUCAAGGCUCAUCCUUAAGUCCUUACCUUUUUGCGUUGGUAAUGGAUGAGUUAACAGGACAUAUUCAAGAUGAUAUUCCUUGGUGUAUGCUUUUCGCAGACGAUAUAGUGUUGAUAGAUGAAACUCAGGAAGGGGUCAAUGCAAAGCUUAACCUUUGGAGAGAAGUGUUGGAAUCUAAAGGUCUUCGCCUAAGCCGAUCAAAGACAGAAUAUAUGGAGUGCAAGUUCAGUGCAAAUGGAGGCCAAAACGAGUUAGGGGUGAGGAUCGGAGAUCAAGAAAUACCAAAGAGCGACCGUUUUCGUUACCUAGGAUCUAUCUUGCAAAAGAACGGAGAAUUAGAUGGAGAUCUCAACCAUAGAAUACAAGCUGGAUGGAUGAAGUGGAAGAGUGCAUCUGGCGUGUUGUGUGACCGCCGUAUGCCAUUGAAGCUCAAGGGAAAAUUUUAUAGGACGGCAAUAAGGCCGGCGAUGCUGUAUGGCACAGAAUGUUGGGCGGUGAAACAUCAACACGUACACAAAAUGGGUGUAGCGGAGAUGAGGAUGCUUCGUUGGAUGUGUGGGCACACGAGAAAGGAUAAGAUUAGGAAUGAGGAUAUCCGGGGUAAAGUAGGAGUAGCCGAAAUUGAAGGAAAGAUGAGAGAAAAUCGGUUACGGUGGUUUGGACAUGUGCAAAGAAGGCCUACUGACGCUCCGAUUAGAAGAUGCGACUAUGGGACAGAGGUUCAGGGCCGAAGGGGUAGAGGAAGACCUAGGAAAACUUUGGAAGAGACUCUAAGAAAAGACUUAGAGUACUUGGAUCUAACAAAGGACAUGACACAGGAUCGAGCACAAUGGCGUUCUAAGAUUCAUAUAGCCGAUCCCACUCAGUGACUUGGAUUUUCCAAGUCUCCAACCGAGAAGUUUUCCUCACUCGGGAAAUUAAGGGAACACUACCCCAACCUACAUGCUCCACUCAGAAAGCUUCAACAUACAAGCUUCAACAAAAGAAAAUUCAAAGAACUUCGCGAAGAAGGCUUUGGUGUAUUUAACACAAUACGUUGAAAUGAAGGAAAGCUUAUUUAUUGAUAUCCCCGAUCAGCUACAAAUAUGUACAUAUACAUGAGUCAAAAUAAACACACAAGACGGAGCCUUCACAAAGGUUGCUUAGGAGACGUCUCAGCAGUCGGUAGAGCCCCAGAAAGAGAAGGCACCGGAGGGGGAUCAUCAUUUGGAGCCUCAGUACUGGACAGAACCCUAGAAGGAGGAGGCAUCAGAGGUUGAUCAUUCGGAGCUUCAUUACGCGGUACAGCCCCAGAAGACGAAGGCAAUAAAUGCCUUUGGAACAAACCCACAAAUCUCUGAUGAUCAAGUAAAACCUGACCAUCAGUUUCCUUCAUCUGGUCAAGCUUCCUCUUCAUGUUUGUAGCAUAGUCAUGUGCGAGCCGGUGCAACUGUUUAUUCUCAUGCUUGAGCCCUCUAAUCUCCUGUUUGAGACUCAUCACUUCAGCCGCCAAUGAUUCAACUUGGCGGGUUCGAGCAAAUAGGCGUUGGGCCAUAUUAGACACAGAACCUGCACACUGAACACUGAGAGCCAGCGAAUCCUUAACAGCUAACUCAUCAGACCGUUUGGAAAGUAGUCUGUUAUCUUUGGGAGUGAGAAGGUUCCUGGCCACCACCGCAGCGGUCAUAUCAUUCUUCAUCACGGAAUCCCCAACGGUAAGAGGACCAGUAGGGGAGACGAAGGAUGGGCGCCAUAUGUUGUCUGGAGAAGGCGGGGCUGCCUCUUCAACAAGGUUCAAGUCAAAACGACGGUCGGAGGGGCCAGACAUUUUCAAAGGUGUUGAAGAGAGAAGAGGUCGGACAAAUCAAGAUCUUAGAAGUGCAAGAAUGAAGCUUCUACUGGUGGAGAUUCAAGUGUGCUUUGGAACUUAAUGCCAGCCUCUAUAAAAAUCUGCACUCGACGGAGCUUCAGAAAUCGAAGAGGCGCCUGCUCAGAAAUCGAAGAGGCGUUUGCUUUCUCAAAAGCUGGGCUGCUUAGAGAUCACGAGGGUUGAUCUCAGAAAUCGAAGAGGCGUUUGCUUUCUCAAAAGUUGGGCUGCUCAAAGACCACGAAGGCCGAUCUCAGAAAUCGAAGAGGCGCUCGCUUUCUCAAAAGCUGGGCUCCCCAGAGACCACGAGGGCCGAUCUCAGAAAUCGAAGAGGCACCUACUUUUCCAGCCUUGUCAGCACCCGUCACACGCACACUCAGCUUUGCGGAAAUUAUGGGCAUUCUGUCGAAGACUUCUGGGGAAGUAGAAAACACAUGAAUCUUACUGUUCAAUCACCCACUUCCCACACGCAACAAUAGCUCAUGGGUACCACAGAUAACUUUGCCAAAGUUCUCUGCCAAAGUUGAGCACGUGAAGCUUGCAGCUCCCACUACAUUGCUCUGACCAAGAAAGGUAAAAGAAUAGCAAAGAAACAGCACUAACAACGUUUAGACACAUAAAUUUUGAAGGUCUAGCUACCAUAUUAUUACCCACAAGGGUAAAGGAACAGUACCACUGCUGGAUAAUUGGAAAGUCCCUGUGUGUCAACCUCUGUGCUUCGUGGCAAGGUAGACUAGCAAACAUGCCCAACCUUUACUCACUUUCGAGAAAACACUCCCAACAAGAUUGCUUGCUCCAAAAUCGAAGAGGCACCGUCCUCCGAAUCUCGAGAGCCAGACUCCCAACAUGACUACAUUCUCAAAAGCGAAGAGAGGGUAAAGGAACAGUACCAUUGCUGGAUAAUUGGAAAGUCCCUGUGUGUCAACCUUUGUGCUUCGUGGCAAGGUAGACUAGCAAACAUGCCCAACCUUUACUCACAUUCGAGACAACACUCCCAACAGGAUUACUUGCUCCAAAAUCGAAGAGGCACCGCCCUCCGAAUCUCGAGAGCCAGACUCCCAACAUGAUUACUUCCUCAAAAAUGGAAGAGACACUGCUCUCCGAAUCUCGAGAGCCAGACCCCCAGCAUGAUUGCUUUCUCAAAAAUCGAAGAGGCAUCGUUCCCCGAAUCUCGAGAGCCAGAUACCACAGACCACUUUUUCAAAGUGCUCUGACAGAGUUAAAACAUGUGAAACUGGCAGCUCCCACUACCGUGCUAUGACCAAGCAGGGUAAAGGAAUAGCAUUACUACUUGUUGUUAGGGAGACUCCUAUAUAUGUCGACCUCCAUCCCCAACGGACAGGCAGACCUGCAAAAAUGCUCAACCCUUCAUCAUAUCUGAGAGGGCACUCCCAACGAAGCCUUUCGAAAUAUUCAGCUUUCUAUCCCCCCGAUAAUACCUCUGCAAACAAGCUAUACUAGAGCAAGAAUAUCUCAUAUCAUCAGGGUUAAAAGCAAGAGUAUCCCAUAUCAUGCUUUUUCCCUGUCUUUUCCUUUGGCCUUGUUUUUACCUGCAAGACAAGGAGAAAGAGAGCAAUCAGUCAGCACUUGGAAUCAAGCUUCCAGCCAGGAACUGACUGCCUGGAACCCCUUACCUGAUUACUUACCUGGCAUUGCUUUCGAGUACUCAUCUUCAACAUCUUAUGUUUCCAGGGAAGAUUCCGCAUCUGCUUGAGGAACAGAUAGGGCAAGUGCGAAGGAUACAAGGAAGCAUGUGGAGACAAGCGUAACAGCACACGUGCCGAUACAUCCAUUACUCUGUCUAAAGCAAAAGUAUCCCAUAUCAGCAGGGUGGAACGUACUCUAGAUUUGAUGGACUUGUUUUGACCCUCAAAUUCUUCAGUCGGCCUUAUACUCUGGAGGAAACCAGAAAACCCUCCAGCUCAGUUCAAGAAUAAGCCUGUGGAAAGUUACUUCUUCAAAAGCAAAAGUAUCUCAUAUCAUCUCUUCUCAUUUUUCUUCUCUUUAUCCUUCAUGCUGCUGCAAGAUGGGGAGAAGGUGAACAAUCAGUCGGAGAGCUCUGAUUGCUUACCUUGUCUGUCACCUCUUUCAGCAGACCCCCUAGCUCGGCGACUUAGGGGACUCCUACUACAUGGUUUGUAUCGCGCUUGACCAAGCCUGAGACUACAAGUAAGCUUCAAGUGAAAUUGAUACAUUACCUUGUGCAUCUCCACCAGUUAAAGAUACCACCCCUGGAUGGAGGAAGAGUACUUCCAGAGAAGAUGCCACACUCCGAUAAGGCAAGUCAAGACGACAACACACUCCGAUACUUAGAAGUUUCGUGAUUACGAGAUCAUUCUCCCACAAUAUUUCCUAAUGUCAUUUGUACUAAAUCAUUCACUUGUACUCACUAAAGGAGAACUUGAACCUAUGUACUUGUGUAAACCCUUCACAAUUAAUGAGAACUCUUCUAUUCCGUGGACGUAGCCAAUCUGGGUGAACCACGUAUAUCUUGUGUUUGCUUUCCUAUCUCUAUCCAUUUAUAUACUUAUCCACACUAAUGACCGGAGCAAUCUAGCGAAGAUCACAAAAAGCGACCGUUUUCGCUACCUAGGAUCUAUCUUGCAAGAGCACGGAGAAUUAGACGGAGAUCUCAACCAUAGAAUACGAGCUGGAUGGAUGAAGUGUAAGAGUGCAUCCGGCGUGUUGUGUGACCGUCGUAGGCCACUGAAGCUCAAGGGAAAAUUUUAUAGGACGGCAAUAAGGCCAGCGAUGUUGUAUGGCACAGAAUGUUGGGCGGUGAAGCAUCAACACGUACACAAAAUGGGUGUAGCGGAGAUGAGGAUGCUUCGUGGGAUGUGUGGGCACACGAGAAAUGAUAAGAUUGGGAAUGAGGAUAUCCGAGGUAAAGUAGGAGUAGCCGAAAUUGUAGGAAAUAUGAGAGAAAAUCGGCUCCGAUGAUUUGGACAUGUGCAAAGAAGGCCGACUGACGCUCCGGUUCGAAGAUGUGACUACGGGACAGAGGUUCAGGGCUAAAGGGGUAGAGGAAGACCUAGGAAAACUUUGGAAGAGACUCUAAGAAAAGACUUAGAGUACUUGGAUCUAACGGAGGACAUGACACAAAACCGAGCGCAAUGGCGUUCUAGGAUUCAUAUAGCCGACCCCACUUAGUGGGAAAAGGCUUUGUUGUUGUUGUUGUUGUUCCCUGAGUUCAUGUGCAAUUCGAUUGCUUAUCAGGAACCCUCCAAUGGUGAAGCCGCGAUGAGAGGCAGUUCGACGGGGAAGGAAGGAAUGGGACGUCAUCAAGGAUGACUUCUUUGUUGGAUAAAUGAAGAAAACCCUCGUAUGUGCUUCUCUAUAAAAUAUUUAAAAUGAUUUUUUAAGUAAUUUUAUGAAAAAAAAUACCUCUCAUGUGCUGCUUUUAAAGUACUUACACAUCCCAAAAUCUCUUUCAAACAUACCCUUAGUUUUAUUUUUUUUGAACAUGCAAAUAUUCUUCACUAAUUUACGCUGAAAAUGAAGAGAGUUUGAACCUGAGACGUAGUGAUUUAAAAAAUAAGGCCUUAAACAUUAGCACAAUCCUGACCCUUGUUAUUUUUAGGGUAAAUCUCAGUUUACUAUCACUAAGUUUCGUGGUUUUCAAGAUUUGGUAUAUGAAGAAUCCCACGUGUCAAUAAGAAUCCCACAUAGAUAUUAAAAAUAUAAAAUAAAAUAAAAAUUAAACAUUACAAAAUUACAAAAAAAAAAAAAGAUGUCUUCUUCCUCCCUUCUCCUUCCGACACAGUUCCAACAAAUGGGUUCAGAGCUGAUUUUCCGAGGGCACAAGCCGACCAACAUGCGGCGACAUCCCGAUCUCCACCCCCCCCCCCACUCUGCUUACGUCCUCCACCCCCUGCUCUCCUUACGCCUCCAGCAACGUCCCGAUCUCGAACUACGUCCGGUAUGACUUUGAUUCGUCAGCGACGACCCAGUACAACGAAAGGGGCCAUUGGGGUUCUAAGGGUGGAUUGAGCGAAUUGCUGAGUGCAUGGGGUGCGGCGAGGGGUGGAGACUGGCUGGGCGGCGUCGACUGACAUUUUGGAUUUGCACAUAUGGGUGGAGGCCGAUAAGGGAGGGACGGUCGGGGGUUAUGGAAGAAGACACUUUUUUUUUUUUUGUAAUUUUUUUAAAUUUUUUAAUGUUUAAUUUUAAUUUUUAUUGACACGUGACGUCCAGUUAUUGUCCAUAUAAACAUCACGUCAUCAGUUAGAUUUAACAGCCAUACUAAUGGAUUUACGAGAUUGUUCCAAAAGUAACACUUUAGGUACGAGUUUGUGAUAAAAAAAACUUUAUGUACCAAAUGUUAAAAACAACAAAACUGGUAAACUGAGAUUUACACUUAUUUUUAAUAUUGACAUGUUUUGAAAAGAGCAUGAGAUUUUUUGUUUUUUUUUUUUUUUUGGAAGAAACGAUAUUAUUCACACUAAGAGAAAGAUGAUGAACUUAGCCUCACAAUAAGCUAGCAAUAAUGUGGUUCAAAUUUAUCUUUGGUGAGAAUUGAACAUAGGACCACUCAAUUACAAAUGAAGAAAAAUAGUAUUAGACCGUAUUACUAAACAACAAUUUUUUUUUUUAAAUAGAAAUAAAAAAAAAUGAAACUGACUGCGCGAGUGGUGAGAUAGUAUCGCUCCAAUUCAACCUAAAUCCAUUGUCAAUGGGCAAUUGGUCCAUUUGGUUGGAAGAAAGAAUUAAACAUGUAAAGAUACAAUAUGCAGACAAUUUAGAAUUGGGUUAUAUGCUAACCAUAAAUCCUUUGGUUUGGGGGGGUGGAAACCAGGAUCCUCUCCUGGGCAAUUCCCUAGGGAUCCCGCAAUCUUGUUCGUUCAUUUUAUAUUAUGCGGUCAGUUUUCGUUAGAUACUAUUCAUAUUUGAAUUUUAAAAUUUAAAUUUUAAAUGAUUUAUGACCACAUGAUAUACGAUGAACGGACAAGAUUACAGAAUCCCUAGGAUCCCUAUGGAAUUGCUCAGGAGAGGAUCCUGGUUCGUAAUUGUGAAGCAAAAAAUAAUUUGAAAAAUCCUGAAACUGACACAUGAACUUUACAGCCAAAAGACGAGAAUAUCCUUGUUAAAUGCUAUUUUGUAAUUUAUGUCAAAAAAGGUAGGACUAUUACAUAUUAAACAUUUUGUUUAUAAGAUAUCACAUAAAUGACUUUCAUUAUACAAACUAACAUUCUUGGAGGUGAAGAUGCUCCCGCAACAAACCCGACCGUGAAGUUACAUCCGGAUUCCGGCAGAUGGUGAAAUCUUUCAAGGUCUAUACACAUAGGAGCAGGGCAUGCAAUCUCCUCAUAACUGUUAUACAGAACUUGCUUUUUAUACUUCUUCGCUACUGCUUUGGCUAACGGACUUCAAAAUGUUGUACUUGCAGAGUGGGCAGGUGGCAUUGAUCUGUAACCAUUUGUCUAUGCAGGUGCAGUGAAAGUGGUGACAGCAAGGAAGUUCACGUAGUUCAGUUCCAUCUUCGUAGGCACAAAGGCAGAUGCAACAUUC